GGACCAACCCGCGAAAACUCUUCGGUGCGAUUUUAUUUUAGUUUCCUUGUAAAAAAGUACAGUUUACUCCUCAUCAUAAAAAGUGGGCUCCUUUGUGCACAUGCGCGGAUCGGACUGUAGAUCACCUUUAACAUAUAAAGUAAAAUGCGAUAUAUACAGUAUACAAAAUUAUUCCAAACUUUUAUUAUUAAAUUUAUCAGUUAUCAGUUAAAAAAGUUAUCAGAACAUACCAGAUACCUUUGAGAAAACGAGAUCUUCACAGCAAAAAUCGCAAUAUAUUUCACUACAGAGUACAGUUUUUAAUCGAACGGGCGCGUUCAGAAUAAAAGAUUUUGAAUAAUAAAUCGAGCGUUGCAUUUCGGGAAGACCCUGAUUCCCUCCAAUGCAACAGCCCGCUUCCAGUCCAACGUGUGCUUUAGCCUGAAAGACUUUAUAUUGACAUAUAUAUCACUACCAUGAUUUGGGGAAUUAUUUGAUUCCCCUCUGCCAAAAAGAAGUUCUUCACAGGCAUUUAUAUGAAAGUACAUUCAAAAGACAAAACUCUGUAUGCAUUUUGGGCGAAGUAACGUUUCUAUAAACGUGCUGAUGAGAAAUUGAGGUUUGUU
Molecule: non-coding RNA, 605 nt
Organism: Paramuricea clavata
Lineage: Eukaryota; Metazoa; Cnidaria; Anthozoa; Malacalcyonacea; Plexauridae
Source: the annotation of a GenBank genome assembly